GGCAGGUCAGCAUACUGCCGUGAAUACGUUCCCGGGCCUUGUACACACCGCCCGUCACACCAUGAGAGUUGGAGAUACCCGAAGCCUGUGAGCUAACAAACGAGGCAGCAGUCGAAGGUAGAAUCAAUGAUUGGGGUGAAGUCGUAACAAGGUACC
Molecule: ribosomal RNA, 156 nt
Filed under: uncultured bacterium
Lineage: Bacteria
Description: partial 16S ribosomal RNA
Rfam family: Bacterial small subunit ribosomal RNA
Source: RNAcentral